AGACGUAGGGGGCAAGCGUUGUUCGGAAUUACUGGGCGUAAAGCGCAUGUAGGCGGACAUUUAAGUCAGGGGUGAAAUCCCGGGGCUCAACCUCGGAACUGCCUUUGAUACUGGGUGUCUAGAGUGUGGAAGAGGUAAGUGGAAUUCCGAGUGUAGAGGUGAAAUUCGUAGAUAUUCGGAGGAACACCAGUGGCGAAGGCGACUUACUGGACUGAAACUGACGCUGAGGCUCGAAAGCGUGGGGAUC
Molecule: ribosomal RNA, 247 nt
Filed under: uncultured bacterium
Lineage: Bacteria
Description: partial 16S ribosomal RNA
Rfam family: Bacterial small subunit ribosomal RNA
Source: RNAcentral